UACGGAAGGGGCGAGCGUUGUUCGGAAUCAUUGGGCGUAAAGGGCGCGUAGGCGGUUGUGUUUGUCUACUGUGAAAGGCCACGGCUUACCUGUGGAGGUGCGGUAGAAACGGCACAACUUGAGGCUGGGAGGGGUUGGUGGAAUUCCCUGUGUAGCGGUGAAAUGCGUAGAUACGGGGGAGAACACUCGUGGCGAAGGCGGCCAACUGGCCCAGUCCUGACGCUGAGGCGCGACAGCGUGGGGAGCAAACAGG
Molecule: ribosomal RNA, 253 nt
Filed under: uncultured bacterium
Lineage: Bacteria
Description: partial 16S ribosomal RNA
Rfam family: Bacterial small subunit ribosomal RNA
Source: RNAcentral